Molecule: ribosomal RNA, 253 nt
Filed under: uncultured bacterium
Lineage: Bacteria
Description: partial 16S ribosomal RNA
Rfam family: Bacterial small subunit ribosomal RNA
Source: RNAcentral
UACGGGGGGGGCAAGCGUUGUUCGGAAUUACUGGGCGUAAAGGGCUCGUAGGUGGCCAACUAAGUCGGACGUGAAAUCCCUCGGCUUAACCGGGGAACUGCGUCCGAUACUGGUUGGCUUGAGUUUGGGAGAGGGAUGCGGAAUUCCAGGUGUAGCGGUGAAAUGCGUAGAGAUCAUGAGGAAGACCAGUGGCGAAGGCGGGUCUCUGGACAGUUCCUGACACUGAGGCACGAAGGCCAGGGGAGCAAACGGG